Molecule: long non-coding RNA, 200 nt
Filed under: Brassica napus (rape)
Lineage: Eukaryota; Viridiplantae; Streptophyta; Magnoliopsida; Brassicales; Brassicaceae
Description: long non-coding RNA (BNAP_LNC005211)
Source: RNAcentral
AUGGAAGCUACCAGAGGAGAUUUGGAUUCGGGGAGAGAUGAAGAGUAUGGAUGAGUUGAAGCUUUUAAUAGUUUGAUGGUGGUGGACUACUACACAAUCGACGUCUCCGACUCUUGGGUUUUGGCGUUUGGCGUUUGGCAUUUUUUUCUAUCAAGACGUUUGACUUUAGAUUGAAACAAAACUCGAAAUUACUUCUUCUU